Molecule: ribosomal RNA, 433 nt
Filed under: uncultured bacterium
Lineage: Bacteria
Description: partial 16S ribosomal RNA
Rfam family: Bacterial small subunit ribosomal RNA
Source: RNAcentral
AACGAACGCUGGCGGCAUGCCUAACACAUGCAAGUCGAACGAGACCUUCGGGUCUAGUGGCGCACGGGUGCGUAACGCGUGGUAACCUGCCCUUAGGUUCGGAAUAACUCCCCGAAAGGGGUGCUAAUACCGGAUAAUGUCUUCGGACCAAAGAUUUAUCGCCUUUGGAUGGGCCCGCGUUGGAUUAGCUAGUUGGUAGGGUAAAAGCCUACCAAGGCGACGAUGCAUAGCUGGUCUGAGAGGAUGCUCAGCCACACUGGGACUGAGACACGGCCCAGACUCCUACGGGAGGGAGCAGUGGGGAAUAUUGGACAAUGGGCGAAAGCCUGAUCCAGCAAUGCCGCGUGAGUGAUGAAGGCCUUAGGGUUGUAAAGCUCUUUUACACGGGAUGAGAAUGACAGUACCGGGAGAAUAAGCUCCGGCUAACUCCGUG